UCCUCCAUGCUCCACACCAUUCUUGAAGCUUCCAUGCCAUUUUCUCUUUGUCCACCAUGAAACCAAGUUUUCUUCAUUUUCCUUUCCAUGUUUUCUUUUCCUUUCUUCUCCAAACUUCUUGAGCACUAAAUUGAUAGCCUUUAACCCUAAUUUCCAGCACAUCUAAACCCUAGGAGGAGAAGAAAGAAAAAGAGAGAAAGGAAGAAAAAGCUUGGCUUUGGUGAUUCAAGCAAGGAACGGUAAGAAUUCUUGUUUUUGGCUUGAGUAGUCUUUGAAAAUGAGUUAGUGACUUAGAGAAAUGUCUUGUGACAGCAAAGAUUGGCUUCAUUGGAGAAAAAUUGGUAACAUGUAAGCCAAUAAACCCAUGGGUACAUGAAGGACUCAAAGUGGAAAAGGAAAACGGUAAGCUUAACA
Molecule: long non-coding RNA, 414 nt
Filed under: Theobroma cacao (cacao)
Lineage: Eukaryota; Viridiplantae; Streptophyta; Magnoliopsida; Malvales; Malvaceae
Description: long non-coding RNA (TCAC_LNC000346)
Source: RNAcentral